AUACGGAGGAUCCGAGCGUUAUCCGGAUUUAUUGGGUUUAAAGGGUGCGCAGGCGGCCAUUUAAGUCAGCGGUUAAAUCGUGGGGCUCAACCCCAUUCUGCCGUUGAUACUGGGUGGCUUGAUUGCGGUCGAGGUUGGCGGAAUUCGUUGUGUAGCGGUGAAAUGCAUAGAUAUGACGAAGAACACCGAUUGCGUAGGCAGCUGACCAGACCGCAAAUGACGCUCAGGCACGAAAGUGCGUGGAUCGAACAGGAUUAGAUACCCUGGUAGUCCGCACAGUAAACGAUGAAUACUUAUUUUCGGCGAUAUAAUGUCGGAGGCAAAGCGAAAGCGAUAAGUAUUCCACCUGGGGAGUACGCCGGCAACGGUGAAACUCAAAGGAAUUGACUGGG
This 392-nucleotide ribosomal RNA is filed under the name uncultured bacterium. RNAcentral's name for it is "partial 16S ribosomal RNA". It matches the Rfam family "Bacterial small subunit ribosomal RNA", at positions 523 to 918 of the family's 1533-position model. The record is from RNAcentral.